Molecule: long non-coding RNA, 1350 nt
Organism: Panicum virgatum (switchgrass)
Lineage: Eukaryota; Viridiplantae; Streptophyta; Magnoliopsida; Poales; Poaceae
Exons: 2
Source: RefSeq, a predicted model, not a curated record
GUGUCCUCGAGGUACCCGCCUCCGGCCGUCUCAAAAUUCUUCCGAUGCAAUGGAUCUUGCUUGUGAUUUUUGUGCAGUAUUUUAACCCUAUUUCCAAUUCUAAUUUAUAUGCUCCUGCGUGCAGAUCUAAUCAUUGUUUGCCAACCAAAUCUUUCGUUUAGCACUAGUUUUUUUUCUGUAUGUUCCUGAGCUUCCCAAUAGAUUGAUUUGUUGAUUGGAUGGCGCUGCUGUGAUGCCUGGAGAGGCAUGCAGCCAGCGCGAUUGUGCGAAGCCGCCAAUGAGACAGAUACAUGCAGAACUGCUACUCUGCUAGUGUGGAUGAGGUACAAUGCCUGAUGAGAUAGAUAUGUGCAUAUGUUUCUUUACGCAUUCUCAUGCUAUUUCUGUAAUUCCAUUAGUACAUCUCAUUCAGAGAAGCAGACCUAAGCUCUUAGCUCUAUUCAACUGAUGCAUGCUGCUUCUUUCUAGUAUACUGAUAUAUUCACGAUUCCUCCUGUAGCCAUGCAAUUAAUUAUUUUAGGAUUACAUAAAUCAAAGCAUGCCCUUCAUCUCCUGACUAGCUUUAGAAACAUUGAAGAUUAUUCCUUUUUUGACAAGGUUGUAUGCAGUUUUGAGCUCUUCUAUAAACUAUUAACAUUGGAGAUUAUUUCCUGAACUUUUCAUUGCUCCUUUUUUUUCUGGCAAUGGCAGAAGCAGAGCAGAGGUGAUUGUAUCUAUUACAUAUAAUUAGAACUGUCCAGUUCUUACCUUCUCUUUGUAUUCUACCAUUAUUAGCUAGACUCUUUGUGGUCAUAUAUAUACUUUGUUUCAUUAAGCUUGCAUUGUGCUGCCAGUUAAUUAACAUUGGAGAUUAUUUCCUGAACUUUUCAUUGCUCCUUUUUUUUCUGGCAAUGGCAGAAGCAGAGCAGAGGUGAUUGUAUCUAUUACAUAUAAUUAGAACUGUCCAGUUCUUACCUUCUCUUUGUAUUCUACCAUUAUUAGCUAGACUCUUUGUGGUCAUAAAUAUACUUUGUUUCAUUAAGCUUGCAUUGUGCUGCCAGUUAAUUAACCCGUUAUGCCAUCUUCUUUCCGUGUUCCUGUGGUGCUCCUCGGCGAACUCAGCCUCAGGCAUCAGAGAUGAGCUCCUUCCCGAGCUGUGGUGUAUGUGGUUUUCUAUUUUUAUCGAGAGUUUUGACUGCUUGUCCAGGAGAAGUAAUUGUUUCAAUUCAUUUGCAAAACCUGAUGAUUUUUAGGUGCUCCUUGUUGGAUCAUAUUAGUUCUUGUUCCAAACCUUGAUUUUGUAAGCAAAAUAUCUUAUUUUUAUUUCAUCUUGAAACUGACAGGACAGAAACUUGGACCUGGUUUAGUUAU